CACUCCUUGCACCCACUGGCACAAGCUUGAACCACGGUUUCUCAGACACUUGCCAUUCCCACUGAAGUGAGUCCAGGGGGAGAAAGGCUUGCUUUCUCAUGCUAACAACUCCAUUGUAAGUGACGUCUUCAGAGGCUGCCAGGAGGGCUCCGGGAAGGCAUGGUCUGAGAGAACCGCACGCCGCACGGAGCUCCAUUUAUCCACAACACACAUUUGGAAGGGAUAAAACAUUACCUCAGAAUCACAGUCCACCGUCAGGAAUAUGGUAAAGUUGCUUAUUUAUUUUCUCACAAAUCUCUUGCCUUUCAAAUUUCAAAGGCUUUAUAAUAUUUUUAUGCUAGAUCUUAACUCUCCUCACACAUACUGUAUCAAAAGGACUAUCUGAGCAGCGGCCGUGAACAUCCCACCUGCACGUAAAACCCGGAGCUAGAAAAUAAUAGGUGUCAAACUCUUCCUUAGAGCUCACUCUGCGACGAUGCCACACGCAAGCGGGAUAAACGAAAAGAUCUCAUCAUAUUAAAAAGCCAAUUCAUUCUUGCUUUCAAUUUUUUUUUUUUCCUCCAAAAGCUUUCAAGCACUGUUCUCUGUUCACUCUUAUAGGCCCACACACAACCCCGAUCCAAUAAAAGGACACCGAAGGCCCCCUUCCACCUCGCUUCCGCGGGGCUCCCCUCGGACGGGGCCUGAAGGGCUCUAGGUCUCCACGCCGUUUCCUUGAAGGCCUCUCCUGGCCAUCCACCACAACAAGGGGCUGGCCCAGGAAGGGGUUAAAGCCCUCAUGUCAAACCGCAAACUCGGGCACUGGCCCAGAAGGGACAUGGGAACCGGGGCCUCUGAGUGAUAAAGGCCGGAUUGUAGCAGCCCACUGAAUUGGAAAUGACUUGUAGGCCUAAUGAAACAGAACUUUGGCAGUAAAACAGAAUGAAAGGAACCAGACAAUAAAAGGCUGGAACAAAGGGUGCAGAGUCGCUUCGGCUUAGCAAAAUAAGCUCACUUUGUUGGUGGGGAAAGCCAAAGCCGAUUAGGAUAAACCAACGACUGAGCGUAAGUCUUCCAAACUAAUUACACAGUUCACCAUGUGAAGUAUAAUUGGAAGCCUCCAGAUGCGGGCUGCUUGGCUUUCACAGGAGUUACAUAAAGUGAGAAUUACCUAGCGAGCCCGGCACCGAGCAGCCCUAUCAUCGAGGUGAGCAGCUGAAAGGUGCAGAUCUGCUCCAUCCGGGACGAAGCCGAGAAUUCAUUAAGUUUAAAGGCCUCUUUUUGAUCUCCAAAAUCCUAUAAGUGAGAAUUUAAGAAACUGGUACUUGAAGGAGGGGCCGAAAGGGGAGAAGGAGGAAGCCCGCACACUCGGGGCUUCUUUGAUCCCAGUGCUUUUUAAUUACCAAGCCGGGCUCUUCCGGACGGCUAUGCAGGCAGAAUGGCGGAGAACCCUGCGAUCGACUGUCUGGGUCUGUAUGUGCACAGCGAGAGCGCCAUUCAUGUGCCACUUUCCGGAAUAGUCUGUGUACAUCAUGCCUGUACAUAUGAAAUCGUGAGCACAGAUAACGUCCACCAGGAAACCUGAAGCAGUGAAAUAAAUUACUGCACGUCAACAUUCUUGACAAAUGGACAAAACCCGCUCCCUCCGAGUACAGGCUGCUUCGUGAUGAAGCGAGAGAGGGGGGCUUACAAACAGCAAAGAAGAGGCUAGGUUGUACAAAAGUGACUGUCUGGGCUCUCCCCAGCAUGGACUGUGUGAUCUCAGACAACUCCCUGACCUUUCUCAACACCAGUGUGGCCAUCUGCGUGAUGGAUAUUCCACCUUUCUUGCUUGGACAGCCUUGAGAAUCGAAUUUUAGAAGGCAUCAAACAGCUUAGCACAAAGCACACAUCCCCUGAAGCCAGAAACAUCAACUUGUAGUAAAAGAAGCUCUUGUAGUAAAAUCUGAACUUCACAAA
Long non-coding RNA from Leopardus geoffroyi (Geoffroy's cat), 1938 nucleotides. RefSeq lists it as uncharacterized. The record is from RefSeq and is a predicted model, not a curated record. The transcript is spliced from 2 exons. NCBI's taxonomy places the organism in Eukaryota, Metazoa, Chordata, Mammalia, Carnivora, Felidae.